This 475-nucleotide unclassified non-coding RNA is filed under the name Hevea brasiliensis (rubber tree). Lineage: Eukaryota; Viridiplantae; Streptophyta; Magnoliopsida; Malpighiales; Euphorbiaceae. The record is from RNAcentral.
UGUUGGCACUGAAGAGUAUAUAGCUCCGGUUCGUUUACUCUCAACCUGCAUAUUUUGUAAACAAUCCUUGGUUAUCCAAGUAGCAAAGUGAUUCCAUGUAUUGCUAUGUGGCAAUAUAUAUCUAGAGGUUUACCUACUGAAUAACAUUCAUUCAUCUGUCAAUAUUUAAGUUAAAGAAUGGAAAAUCCAAGUUAAAGAUUUCUGUGCUUCAAUUUGAUCUGCGUCAUGCUGGGAGUGAUACUUCUCAAUCAAGUUUAAAACUAAAUUCCAAACAUAAUUUUAGAAGGUUCAAGUUUAAAACUUUCCAGCCAUCCUCUCCCUGAAAAACACAUUGUUCUUUUUUCUUCUUUGGGUUAAGCUACAUAUAACUUCUCAUGAAUUUGCUUCAUCAAUGACAUGAUAGCUUUUGGUUCUGGUGAACUGUGAUGCUAAAUUUUCUUUCUAUUCUUUUUCAGGAAAUUAUAACUGGGGCAGG